RNAcentral lists this ribosomal RNA (813 nucleotides) under Triticum aestivum (bread wheat). RNAcentral's name for it is "partial small subunit ribosomal RNA". Lineage: Eukaryota; Viridiplantae; Streptophyta; Magnoliopsida; Poales; Poaceae. The record is from RNAcentral.
AUGGCGCUGGCCACCCCGACAGCCGUGGUGCUGGAGCUGAUGACCAUGGGGCAACAGUCCGCGGCGCACCUCGGGGAGCUGCUCCGAGCGGCGUCCCCGCCCGUGCGGGCCGAGCACCAGGCGCUCGCCGCGGAGAUCAUCCGCUGCUGCGACCGGGUGAUCGCCGCGGUGAGCGCGGGCGCCACCGAUAAAAAGAGGAAGAUGACGGACCCUGGCGCCACAUCCUGCCAUCUUCCCUCAGCCGCCAUGCCGUCCAAAAGAAGGGUGCGUGCUGCGGAGGCGCACAGAGAGGUCCAGGCGCACACGACGGCGGACGGGUUCGUGUGGAGGAAGUACGGGCAAAAGGACAUCAACGGAAGCAACCACCCGAGGCUCUACUACCGCUGCGCGUUCAGAGGCGAGGGCUGCGCCGCGACUCGGCGGGUGCAGCGGUCGCCGGAGGAGCCCGCGGCGUUCGUGAUCGCCUACUACGGCGAGCACACCUGCGGAGCCGGCUUCGGCGACACGUGCCAGCAAGGGGCGGUGCCUCCUACCGUUGUCGACUCCGGCUCAAACGCUCGUGGAACCGUCGGUGCCAUCGACUGGAACAGGGGCUCGCUUCUGCUGCCGUCGCUCCCAGCCGAGCAGGGCGCACGCCAUCACGGCGAGGCGCCUGGUGACACGUCGCGGGGAUGGUUGUCGCCGUCGUCCUCGUCCUACUCGUCGGAGGUGGAACUUGGUGCUUCUCCUGUCGGGGAAUUUCUCGAUGGCAGCUUCGACUGGGAGUGGGAGACCGUUGUCAACUCCCUCCGUUUCGGCGAUCUGCUUCAGUAA